Molecule: long non-coding RNA, 2341 nt
Organism: Acanthopagrus latus (yellowfin seabream)
Lineage: Eukaryota; Metazoa; Chordata; Actinopteri; Spariformes; Sparidae
Exons: 4
Source: RefSeq, a predicted model, not a curated record
AAUCAGAAUGUGAAAUACAGUUUGAACGCUACUGUUCAUUUCUAAGAUAUGCCGCUGUUACCUAGGCUGAGAGAGCUGUUGUGUCCCUCACAGCACACAGAUGACAACCUUUUGAUAGUGUAGGGUUAGGUCCCUAACGUGACCCAAGAGCUGCUAACUACGACCUUUUUUUCUCUAUGGCCGCAUAAACUGGCUGUGCUCUUUUGUCAACAUGGACAAUGCAGAGACGAUCCUUGAGGAACAAAAUCAGGAGACGUCAUCACUGGAGGACUGGAACUGAUCAUCGAGUGGGUCAUCCAGAGAGCUCUACUGAUUUAGAUCCAGAACCCAGUGGCUCAAUGCAGGAAAACCAUGAAAUCAGGGGAGAACCAAUCAGUCAAUCAGGACCAACAACUCCUGAGAUGAGCAACACAGAGGUCCUGCAUCCACCAUCUUCCGAUGAUGUUGGCAGUCAUAGUCUGCAAUCGACAAGCAGGCAUAGAUCUGAAGAUGACUGUUUAAUGCCUGUGUCAAAUCAAGAUGCAGACCUGUUGUGAAGUGAAGAGUCAGAUUCCCCUCUUGCCCGUGCCAUCCAAGCAUCUCUUGAGGACUCUGAAGUAAACUUUGGACCCGUUUGUGGUGAUGAUGUUGAUAAUCAAGACUCCACCCUUCCCUGGAAUCCAUAUGACUUCAACAGUAUGCAGCACUCCACACCGAAUGACGGACCUGUAUCAUCAAGCAGUCUUCCAGCAUCACCAGACCCAUUUGAAAAAGACCUCCUUCUUGUGAAAGUAAGACAAGUAAACAGUUGAUGAUGUCCUUUUAUCUUCAUGGAACCAAAACUACUGAAUGCUGAUCUAAAAAUAGAGUUUACAACUGAGAAAGCUUUGGACAGUGAUGGUGUGUCAAGAGAGGUAUACUCUGCGUUCUGGGAAGAUUUCUUGCAACAGUUUGAGGGGGAAGAUGAGUGGGUACCCAGACUACGACCAGACUAUUCUGAGAAGGCAUGGCAAGCUCUUGGAAGAGUGUGGUUGAAAGGAUACCUGGACCACAAAAUCAACCAAUCAGACUAUCACCAGCUUUUGUUCUUGCCUGUUGUCAGGGAUGCCUGUUGUUCAGUGGAUUAAGAACUCUUGAUGAUGUCAUUUGCCAGAUUUCUUUCAGAGAAUGAGUGUGCAUCACUUGAAAAAGCACUACAGGGCAACAUUGAUGAAACUGUUGAAGAGGACUUACUCGACGUCUUCUCAAGAAUGGGCUCACACUGCCUGCCUUCUAAAGACAAAAUACGCGCUGCCAUUUUAACAAUGGCACACAAAGCUCUUCUUCAAGAGCCAAAGUUCAUAAUUGACUGCUUCCACUCCAGUAUUCACAGUGCUGUGCCAACACUCAUAACUAAAGAAAGCAUAAUGAAGCUUUACUAAUCUAAGCGGCUAACUAACAAGAAAGUGGCCCAGAUGAUAAAGCCAUCAACUGAAAGCCUAAACCCACAAGAGCAGACAGCUCUUAACCACCUGCUAUGGUAUGUGAGAAGCAUCGACCAAAGAAAACUAGAGAUCUUCUUACGCUUCUGCACAGUGUCCACUGUGCUGUGCACAGACACAAUUGAAGUAACUUUUAAUAGACUGUUUGGUUUAAGUCGCAGGCCUGUAGCACACACAUGCGGAGCAGUUCUUGAGUUACCAUGCACCUACAGCUCAUACCCUGAGUUUGUCAUGUUUGUUUGCUCAUGUCCUGUGUGGCGAUUGCUUUACAAUGGAUAGUGUGUAGUGAAUGUAAGGGAUCUUACACAUGUUCCUGUUCUACUGACACCAUUAUGGUGAAACUGAAACAAACUGUUCCUACAGAUUUACAUUUAGUUAUAUUUAAAAAUCAUUAUUUGUUCAUUCAUGUGUUACAACUAAGAAAAAGUAUACUACAAGGAGAGGAGAUGAAAUGAGAUGCGUAAUGUGAUGACAUUCCUUUAUUACACUUAAAACUGAAACAAAGAGUUUAGACAUUUUUUGCUUUGUUUUUUUUAUUUUCUUAUUGUUAAUGAUUUUGCUGUAAUAUUUGUCAGAUUUACAUUUUGCUUAAGUCCAGACGACAGUUUAAGUUUGAUCAUUUUGAUAAGUCAUCAAGGUCUGCUCUCAUAGGUGAACAUCCCUUUUUUCAGGCAUGUAUCAUUUUCACAUUAUCAUGUGCAUGUUUUAUGAAAUUGUUAUCAAGAAAGAAGUUCUUUCUUAAUAAUACCUGUUUGAUACGCAUACAGUACCAUUUCAAAUGGCUACCCAUGGUUGUUUCUGUUGGAGCCUGACAUGGUAAACAUACAGACAGUGUCCGACAUUGUAUUGUAUUGUGGAAUAAAAAUGUAAUUCCUCUUUCA